This 219-nucleotide unclassified non-coding RNA is filed under the name Glomeromycotina sp. RNAcentral's name for it is "partial contains small subunit ribosomal RNA, internal transcribed spacer 1, and 5.8S ribosomal RNA". The stretch from base 1 to 47 matches the Rfam family "Eukaryotic small subunit ribosomal RNA", at positions 1785 to 1831 of the family's 1831-position model. Lineage: Eukaryota; Fungi; Glomeromycota. The record is from RNAcentral.
AAAGUCGUAACAAGGUUUCCGUAGGUGAACCUGCGGAAGGAUCAUUAAUUUGGGAGUUGGUUUACUGUUGCCUCCUUUCUCUCUUCUAACAGUAAACCUAUCCCCAAAUAUGAAAGGAGCAAGAUACCUUUAUAUUUAAAACCCACACUUGAACAUAUAAAAUUUAUGUAUUAUUGAUAAAAUAAAAGAUCACUUUCAACAACGGAUCUCUUGGCUCUC